UGCGCAUUCUCGUACGUGGAUAAUGGCAACGUGCGCUGAGUCUUCUCGAGACUUUAUUCGGUCGGUGUUUGGGCCACGUGUUUCUGUCAUUUCCUCGCCCGAUGCAGAGGACCUCUGCCAGAAGAACAAUCUAACAUUUGUUGAGAUGCUGAAGCCGUUCUGCAGACCUACGCAAGAAGUCAUCCAUACUGAACAUGUAAUCUAGUGGUUACGUUACGGCCAACCACCCUGUAGGGGGUUUCACGUCUAGAGAAAGCUGACAGUGUGAUGAAUGUCAUUCUCUUUUACGCAGUAAACCUUGCAUAACUGUCUGUCUCCAGAAUCAGUUUGUGGAGUUGUGUGUGGCAAUGAGCUAGGAGUGUUUGGCUAUCAAAUUUCGACAUUCGAAAUUUGAUAACCAAAGUGUCAUAUUA
Corticium candelabrum is the source of this 413-nucleotide long non-coding RNA. RefSeq lists it as uncharacterized. The record is from RefSeq and is a predicted model, not a curated record. NCBI's taxonomy places the organism in Eukaryota, Metazoa, Porifera, Homoscleromorpha, Homosclerophorida, Plakinidae. The transcript has 3 exons.